AUCCGUGAAACAUUUAAAACGAUUUUAGACUACAAAAUAGAAAAAACAUAGCAAAAUGACAACUCUUCAAGUCUUAAACACUCACCUCUCCACUAAUAUUUAAACAUAACCCAGUUUUUUACAGCUCUAUUCUCAACGGAAAGUUUUUUUUUUUUUUUUUUAAAUUUCAAUCUAGUAACAACUUUUUUGUCGUCAAUGGUAAAGACAACUACUAUGUACAUUUCACUAAUUCACCCUCUAGUUAAUGAAAACAUUUGUGUUUUAAAAAGAAAGGUCAAAUUAGAUGUUAAUUCCAAAUAGAUUAAAAACUUAUCCAAAUAAGUAAUUUAAUCUUUUGGUGAAAAACAUAUGAAUUGAUUGACGUAAAUUAAAUGUGAAAAGUAUAAGUGACACCUUUAAAUUGGUUUCAGACUACAUAUCAAGAAAAAACAUAGCAUAAUGACAAUUCUUAAAGACUUAAACACUUAC
Molecule: long non-coding RNA, 468 nt
Filed under: Brassica rapa (field mustard)
Lineage: Eukaryota; Viridiplantae; Streptophyta; Magnoliopsida; Brassicales; Brassicaceae
Description: long non-coding RNA (BRAP_LNC003557)
Source: RNAcentral